RNAcentral lists this ribosomal RNA (253 nucleotides) under uncultured bacterium. RNAcentral's name for it is "partial 16S ribosomal RNA". It matches the Rfam family "Bacterial small subunit ribosomal RNA", at positions 524 to 776 of the family's 1533-position model. The record is from RNAcentral.
UACAGAGGGUGCAAACGUUGCUCGGAAUCAUUGGGCGUAAAGCGCACGUAGGCGGACUCUUAAGUCGGGGGUGAAAGCCCAGGGCUCAACCCUGGAACUGCCUUCGAUACUGGGAGUCUUGAGUAUGGUAGAGGUUGGUGGAACUGCGAGUGUAGAGGUGAAAUUCGUAGAUAUUCGCAAGAACACCAGUGGCGAAGGCGGCCAACUGGACCAUUACUGACGCUGAGGUGCGAAAGCGUGGGGAGCAAACAGG